AUAUCUUUCUGUACGGGAAGGAUGAGAAGCUUCGACUAAGGUUCGAUUCGAGCGCAGCGAGAAAGCGUUGCCGCAGGCAACGACCCGAAGGGCGAAGCGCGCAGCGCUGAGUAAUCCUUCCCCCACCACCA
This 131-nucleotide small RNA is filed under the name Salmonella enterica subsp. enterica serovar Senftenberg. RNAcentral describes it as "RtT sRNA". It matches the Rfam family "RtT RNA". From Rfam's summary of the family: This family represents a bacterial cis-regulatory element known as RtT RNA. The exact function of RtT is unknown although it is thought that it may be involved in changing the cellular response in relation to amino acid starvation. Lineage: Bacteria; Pseudomonadati; Pseudomonadota; Gammaproteobacteria; Enterobacterales; Enterobacteriaceae. RNAcentral also lists the same sequence under 8 other names. The record is from RNAcentral.